UCUUUGCUAGUAUAUCGGAUAGUACAGCCGCCUGUCAAGGUGCUUACUCAAUCACUGCGCGCGGCAGAGCUGGGUUCGACUCCCAGGCAGAGAG
Molecule: non-coding RNA, 94 nt
Organism: Leucogyrophana mollusca
Lineage: Eukaryota; Fungi; Basidiomycota; Agaricomycetes; Boletales
Source: the annotation of a GenBank genome assembly